AUAAAAAUCAACUUUGUUGGUGAAUCAUAAUAACUUCUCGGACCGCAUGGCCUCGUGCUGGCGGUGCUUCAUUCAAAUAUCUGCCCUAUCAACUGUCGAUGGUAGGAUAGAGGCCUACCAUGGUUGCAACGGGUAACGGGGAAUAAGGGUUCGAUUCCGGAGAGGGAGCCUGAGAAACGGCUACCACAUCCAAGGAAGGCAGCAGGCGCGCAAAUUACCCAAUCCCGACACGGGGAGGUAGUGACAAUAUGUAACAAUAUACGGCCUUAUACGUCGUAUAAUUGGAAUGAGUACAAUUUAAAUCCCUUAACGAGGAACAAUUGGAGGGCAAGUCUGGUGCCAGCAGCCGCGGUAAUUCCAGCUCCAAUAGCGUAUAUUAAAGUUGUUGCAGUUAAAAAGCUCGUAGUUGGACCUUGGACCUGGACAGGCGGUCCGCCUCACGGCGAGUACUGUCUUGCUGGGUCUUUCCUCUUGGUGAUCUGUUGUUUCGGCAG
RNAcentral lists this ribosomal RNA (494 nucleotides) under uncultured fungus. RNAcentral's name for it is "SSU rRNA". It matches the Rfam family "Eukaryotic small subunit ribosomal RNA", at positions 215 to 721 of the family's 1831-position model. Lineage: Eukaryota; Fungi. The record is from RNAcentral.